AAGUCAAAAUUUUUCCAAACGCAGACACAUUCCGAAAUAAACAUAUUUAUUUUGAACAUUUAAAUUUGAAAUAAAUCCCCUUCACAUGAAUACAAUCAACCGAACCACAAUCGGCAUAGCAGCGGGAGUGGCGGGUACACUCUUCAUUGCCUACUGCAUCUACUUCGACGGCAGACGGCGUGCAGAUCCCGACUACAAGAAAAAAGUACACGAACGUCGACGUCGCUUGCGCAAGAACCGCCACACGGCAGGCCAUGGCAUACCAAAUUUGAGCUCCCAACAGGCAAUCGAGCGAUAUUUCCUGCAAGAGUUGAAAAUGGGCGAAGAACUCAUCGAGCGUCAGGAAUAUGAAAAUGCUGUGGCACAUUUUGCCAACGCUGUGCUAGUGUGUGGUGAUCCGGGACGGUUAUUGGAAAUGUUGCAGCAUACAAUGCCAGCUCAAGUAUUUGCCAUUUUGAUUAUUAAAAUGCAAGAAAUCGGUAAUCGUGCUCGUGCCGAAAUGAAUGAAGCAGCGAAGGCUGCCGGCGUUAAGCGCAUGGAAAAUGCCGAUGAGGAUGAAGAUGCCACGGAUGCAGCGCUGAUUGAUGAUUUGGAAUAAAAUGUCGAGUGGACUGUAUGUGGAUAGAUAUUUAGUGAUGUGUAUGUUUGUAUAUUUGUUUUAAUUUUAUUCCCCAUUCAACGGCACGGAUAAGUGCAGUUUGUUGAAACAUAAAUCCCUUAAUGUCUGAUAAAAUCUUGAAGUAAAUUCCUUAAAAUCAAAUAUUAUAUAUAAA
RNA transcript from Ceratitis capitata (Mediterranean fruit fly), 773 nucleotides. It is a transcript of the gene named mitochondrial import receptor subunit TOM20 homolog pseudogene, with no coding region annotated. The transcript has a single exon. Lineage: Eukaryota; Metazoa; Arthropoda; Insecta; Diptera; Tephritidae. The record is from RefSeq and is a predicted model, not a curated record.